Molecule: non-coding RNA, 4756 nt
Organism: Osmia lignaria (orchard mason bee)
Lineage: Eukaryota; Metazoa; Arthropoda; Insecta; Hymenoptera; Megachilidae
Source: RefSeq, a predicted model, not a curated record
UUUAAUUUAAACAAAAAUUACCGUAAGGUCUGUUCUCACAUAUGAAUGAUAGAGCCUCUUUUUCCUACAUCACCAUUUUCUCUAAAAGAGCCUACUAUGCUCGGUAUUGCACAUGCAUGGUUAAACAAAGGAAUGUCAGAAACGAGUCAAAGUUUGCAGAUAAAGGUUAAAAUGAAGUCGUAUCAGUGAACAGCUUUUCGCAGUUCUUGAAACUAAUUACAAGAAAACGUAGCUCAUCGUGCUUUCUCUUUCACGUAAAGCUGAGCGUCGAGUUGGUAAAUCGAGGAAAAGUCGGCUUAAGCCUUGUGUUGACUUUUCGGCUUUGCAAGCACUUGCUGGUAAAUUGCAAGCGUUGAAUGGUGCUACGAUACACAGCUUUUGAAUCGUAAGAACCCGCCAUUUUUAAUAGAUCCGACGCUAUUCCAGUGAAAGUGUCGACGAAACAAUCUUGCUUGGCGGCUGUCGCUCAUUUAAGAAGGAUGAGGCGCUAAGUAUUCCCUGCACUCGCCAUUAAGCCAGAUUAAACAGCUCUCCGCGACAAUGUCAUCUACGCGAAACGACGUCGAGACGAGGAGUCGUGCCGCGACGAGCGGAUUUUGCGUUUCUACGAAGAUGCAAGUGUGCGGGAUUCCGUAUACCACUCGCAUCGCUUGGUCCCUUUACGUAAAUGUAUAAUACUCGUUUAAAUCAGCGUAGAACAUGGAGGAUAAGAACCGUCACUGGGCUUGAGUAACGACUUUGUUUUUUGGACUCCUUUAUGAAUCAUUCCGAACAUGCUUUUCAUGUUUCUGAAUAUCAAUUUUCUAUGCAGACGGAGCAACAUUUUUUUUUGUACAGAGUGUUUCAGACAUAGGUGGAUACAGUAAAAUUCAAGAAAAAUUCAAUUUUCAAACAAAUUUUGGAUAAUCUAAUUUGAUUACAGACAGUCGUUUCAGGAAAGAGCCUGAGUAGAAUGCGGAAACCGAUGGAUCCGCAGUCCGAAGCGUAUAAAAUGAAACGUGAUCUCGGACGUAAAAUUUGCACGAAGGUUCCGGACCUAAGUCUCUUAAAUCUGUUUGUUGCGUUGAAAGUGAGCACGUUGGUUCGUCCUAGCAACGUAAUCGCGUCUUCUCUUAACCAGGAAGUCUUCCUUCUACGCCAAGUGGUCUUAAUUUAUUUAACCCUGCUUCUACGUUCUCCUUGGGUAACCCUUUACAUGUUGUGGUUUGACUAACCACAAAUUGGUUUUGCAUUUCAGCGACUUUACAUUUGAAAUCUUAUUUAAGUUUAACCACCAAUUUACUAGAUAUUUAAUUCUAAAAAGUAAUCAACGAACAAAGAUUAUUCUAAAUUUCAUUACAACAUUUUAUCAAGAAAUAAUGAUUUAGACCCUAAAGAUCCUAACUCGGGUCAAGAGCUGUACAGUUGAUCCGGCCAUUUUGAACGAAGACAAGUGGCGCCAUCAUUUUCCCUAGGAAAGCCUACCAUGCCCGAUGGUGUACAGGAAUUUGUAUGAGUUUAAAUUCCAAUAAUAUUCAGUAGUCACUGUCAGCUAACUCCCUGUCCCUGGCAAGUACAUACGUCCCGAGGAGUGAGCAUUGAAACGGUUAAUAGAAUGAAUCGUUGAGUCUACUGGAAUUCCAUUAGCAAUACAUAAAAGAUCGACUCCCAUUUCAUCGCGAUAACGUACGAGGCUGGAGGGCACUCUUUUCUCAAAUGUAACUCCCAGUCGGACGAGCUAAAGUGGCUUGCUAUCGCACGACAGGAAACGAGAGAGGAAGCGAUCGAACAGAGAGAGAGAGAAAGAGAGGGAUAACGAGAGAAAGAAAGAGAGCAUCGGAAUCGAUUUCGUUUCUUCCCGCUGCGCCCUGAAUCUCGUAGCUACAAGCCCGCUCCGUUUGAGCUUUUAAUGGCCAGAUACGGGAGCCAGCUUACGCAAUUAAACCGAGACCCGUAACGAGUUUCCACCAACCUGCGUAUCUUUGGUUAAGUGAAUUAAAUCCACUCGGCGUGGCGUGGUCAACUACAUGGGCUGAGCCCACUACUCGACAAAAGAUACCAUUUCCGUGUCACGCUGGACUGAUUUGACUUACUACUUGAUUUCGUUAUGCAAAUAUAUUUGGAUGAAUCGCAGAGCCGAGUUGGAAGUCGAAAUAGGAAUAGCGGUGAAAGGUUAGGAUCGUCUAGGGUUCCCUAGCAUCGCGUCGUCUAGGGGAAUGAUGAUAGUGGCGCCACCACUAUGUAUAAUUUACCUUCAGAAAUUCAGGAGCACCGGGAGAAAUAAUAGAAUAAACCUUUUUCCAAAUUUGAAAAUUCUUAACUAAUUAUAUUAAUUUAGUUAAUAUUCUUUAUGAUGGAAAAUGUUCCCUUCAGAGUACUGUGUUUUAACAGAAUAAAUUUACAUAUUUAAACGAAAAAGUUUCAUAUAUUUGGAGAAUAAUUUUUAAAGGAACAGUACAAAAUUUCGAGUACCGAGGCCGUCCGAGGGUUAAUGUAAAUGGAUUUAAUUUAUGAAUAAUUUUCAUCAUUUCUAUUCAUAAAAAUAUUAUUAAAUCCAUAUUUCUGGAAUCAAUAAAUGAAAUUCAACAGAAUUUCGCAAAAUAUUCAUCCGAGUUCGUGUAACUCCGUUCUCGUUGUUUUUGAAAAUUUCAUUAAGCUUCGGUUCGGUGGAAAUUCGUUAAAAAAGAAACCAUCCAUCGAGAAUUUAGCCAGCCGAGAAACUGCACAAAGGGAACAUCGUACGAUCGCACACACGUAGUCGAUACGUGUUAUUUCCUCGGGAUAAACGAACUUUCGAAUAACCUCAUCCCAGUGUGGACCAAAACGUACGAGCAGAAUCCUUUCCGAAUGCCGGAUAUUACAGAUAUUGGGCCGAUCCAGCAAACACGUACCACGAUAAAACACAUAUAUCUGAACCUAAUUCGAAACAACAUGCGUCAGCUAGUGUGCAACAGUUUCCUUUAGCUGGUCGAAGUGCACAUGGAAUUUGAAGAAGUGGCGUUCGAUUAUAUAGAAGCUGUUCUGACCGGAAAUUGGGACAGUAUUGUUCCUAUAGUACACUUCCAGCAAAUUUAUGUUAAACUGAAUAUUUUCCAUGUAAAUUACUUUGAAUUACUUAUAUUAUGACCCCGCUAUGUUGAGUGUGCCAUCUUAUGAUGUCAUUGGGCUGAAAGGCUUACAAAUCCGAAUUUUCCAGAAAAAUACUAACGAUUUUUUAUUCGUUCAAUAUUUAACGUCUAAUAAAAAUCGUCACGUGUCUCUUACCGAUCGUUCUUCCUGAAUCAUUCAAAUGCUUCAACGAUCUCUCGAGAUACUCCGACGCACGAACCAGCCGGAAAUAUCAGUUUCCAUUCGAACGCUCGGUGGCAAGUGCCCUCCGACGCGUGUUCCAGGUUCUUUUCAGCAUCCACGAGCUCCGCCAUCGUGCCAAGGGUUUUCAAUGCGGCGAAAAAUUCGCAUAGCUACGCGGUUCUCUGCUGGGUCGAGUAUGGUGCACACAUCGUUCCGUGUUUUCUGGUCGGUGUGACAUUUCCACUCGACGUCAGCUUCCUCGAUGUCUCGUCCACACGACCGUGUAACCCAGUCGCCCAAUUCACGCGUCCGCGUGCACCUUUCUAUUCAUACGCUCGGCUCGUACCCGAUGCUUGGCGCAGAAUCCGAAGAAGUAGAGCGGUGAGGAAAAAGAAAUUUAAGAAAUGAUUUUUCAAAAAUUCCUGAUAUUUUGAUUUUCGAUAUCGAGCAAAAACCUCGGGAAAAGAAAUUGAAAUUUUCCUUGACAAAUUCGAAAAAUUGAAGUUCUACCAACUUGAGGAGAAUAGAGGAUUCCAGAGGAGGCAGUUGGUUCCUUAAUGGUACGAAAGUGGAAUUUUUCUAGCAGUUUGAUACCAGGGAUACAAGAGGCUCGUCACGUGCCCGCUUUCCGUCAUACGCUUGGUAGUUCUACCUUGGAAGAAAGUUUCCGUCAACGACGGAUUCAGCAGCCCUUAACUUCUUUCACGACCCUCGAAACGUAUUACCGUCCAGCCGAACUUUCUACCGAUAGUUGCGAAAAUUUACAGUGAAGCGUGGAAUGGUCAGAACGCAGUUGUAUUUCGUAAAAUUUGCAGUAUUUCUUUGGUAGAAUAAAAGAAGAAAUACGAUACUUUGUUUCUUUGGAUUAAAAUGAAAUUAAAAUUGGGACUCUCUCCAUGGUCCGAGGGGUUGAGUCAAAGUAUGUUCAGGCAGAGAAGAUAUCUUAAGUAUUAAAAAAAUUUAUGCAGCAUAGUAGUAAAAAAGGUAGACAGCCAUCUUGGGCGAUUGCUCAAAGUGCAGAGGAAUUAUUCUUUUGCUACGUCACCCUCGCGUCUCCUCUCCUUUUUUCCAUUCCUUCGAAAAAAGUCUGCUCCACGGGAUGGCUUAAAAAUUUAUGGAAUUUCUAAGCGGUUGUAUGCGAUCCGCCAGCCUCUUUCGUCGCACGAUGAACAGCACUUGGUGUUUUUACGCGCGCUCGCAUACGAAUCUACAAAGCAUCCACCUUGUAGCACGGUAGCCAGGAAGCCGGAAUUCGACGGACGAUGCAAUAUACGUUGGCGACGGAGAUGCCCCGCGGGUUUUGUCUGCGGGGUUGGCAAACAGCAUGCAUCGAGAAUCACCGAGGUAGCUGAACCUCGUUGUUUGACCUACAUGAAUCUGGUAUAACACUUAGGGCACCCUUGUUCGAGUUUCCUUAAACGAUAUUCAGUAAAUGUACCAGGCGACAUUUUGCCACUUGCAUCCAUUGAUGGGACUUGGAUUUUUG